Molecule: ribosomal RNA, 468 nt
Filed under: uncultured bacterium
Lineage: Bacteria
Description: partial 16S ribosomal RNA
Rfam family: Bacterial small subunit ribosomal RNA
Source: RNAcentral
GACGAACGCUGGCGGCGUGCUUAACACAUGCCAGUCGAACGGAAAGGCCCUGCUUUUGUGGGGUGCUCGAGUGGCGAACGGGUGAGUAACACGUGAGUAACCUGCCCUUGACUUUGGGAUAACUUCAGGAAACUGGGGCUAAUACCGGAUAGGAGCUCCUGCUGCAUGGUGGGGGUUGGAAAGUUUCGGCGGUUGGGGAUGGACUCGCGGCUUAUCAGCUUGUUGGUGGGGUAGUGGCUUACCAAGGCUUUGACGGGUAGCCGGCCUGAGAGGGGGACCGGCCACCAUGGGACUAAGGUACGGCCCAGACUCCUACGGGAGGCAGCAGUGGGGAAUAUUGCACAAUGGGCGGAAGCCUGAGACAGCGGCGCCGCGUGCGGAAUGACGGCCUUCGGGUUGUAAACCGCUUUCGCCUGUGACGAAGCGUGAGUGACGGUAAUGGGUAAAGAAGCACCGGCUAACUACGUG